This 328-nucleotide long non-coding RNA is filed under the name Physcomitrium patens. Its description in RNAcentral is "long non-coding RNA (PPAT_LNC008851)". The record is from RNAcentral. Lineage: Eukaryota; Viridiplantae; Streptophyta; Bryopsida; Funariales; Funariaceae.
GCUUGGCCAUGUCAACGGCCAGAUUUACGUCAUCAAGUUGACCGGAUUUUUAUGGACCCCGAGUUGAAACCCUCAUGGGUGAUCAGAAAUUUGUUGGAGUUGCCACGUCAAUCCCUUCUCACCAACUUGAAUUUUCAACUAGUUUUUAAAAAUAAAUAAACUAUUGGGAUUAAAACAAAAUGGACUAAUGAAUUAGGUUCCAUGAAAAUGUUCUAAGUAAAUUAGGUUUACAAUUAGGUAUUAUAGUGCAUUUUGUGAACCAAAAACCAUCAAUUGCAUAAAUUAUGGUAUUUGGAUUUUUGAUGAAGAUUCAUUAGAAGAAGUUUUA